UGGCACCGUUAGAUUAGGGUCGAUUGUCUGCCAGAUGAUCGUCUCUGCUGCAAACAACGAAUCUGUAUGAGGAUGAAGGAUGGCAUUGGCGAUCGCUCCUCCCCAUACUUUGGAGGAGAUCGCUCCUUCACUGAUGAGCAGGCAAUUGUUGGGAAGGAAAGCUUCCUUCCCGACAAUCGCCUGC
Long non-coding RNA from Bufo bufo (common toad), 184 nucleotides. RefSeq lists it as uncharacterized. NCBI's taxonomy places the organism in Eukaryota, Metazoa, Chordata, Amphibia, Anura, Bufonidae. The transcript has 3 exons. The record is from RefSeq and is a predicted model, not a curated record.